RNA transcript from Benincasa hispida (wax gourd), 2284 nucleotides. It is a transcript of the gene named MATE efflux family protein, with no coding region annotated. The record is from RefSeq and is a predicted model, not a curated record. Lineage: Eukaryota; Viridiplantae; Streptophyta; Magnoliopsida; Cucurbitales; Cucurbitaceae.
UUUUAUGAAAUUUUGCGUUAUUUUAGUCGAAGACCCCCAAGAUAUUUCUAUGGCGAGCUGCAAUUCUGUCCGUCGAAAAACUCGUCCUUACAAAUUGAGACUAAUAUAUAUGAUUUCAUCUUCCUGUUUCGCAACCUCUACCGGCCGGCCUUUCCACUGUUCCAGUUCUCAGUGAUCGGAGAUGGCGACCGGUCUUUCUAUCUAUGUUCCAUGCUUCAAUACCGACACUAAUUUAUCUUCCAAGUGUCAAAUGCUGCGCAGAAUCGCCAAUUGUGAAGUUCGGUUUCGUGAUUUUCCGAAAGCGUCGUUCCAGAAGAAUCUUACUACUUCUUCCCUGAAGAGUCCGCCGGAAGAACCGAAGUCUACAGCCUCGUCAAACCAGGUCCGUCGAAACAGACUGGACAAAAAGUCGUCCAACUCCUUCUUGUCUAAAUCUGUCUCAGUUCCACUUCUAAAUCGUUUUAGAGAUGCGGGUUUUAAAUUUGAUAAACUUGCCCUGGACAUAUUGGCGAUUGCAUUGCCUGCUGCACUGGCUUUGGCUGCUGAUCCAAUUGCAUCGUUGAUUGACACAGCUUUUGUUGGUCAUAUAGGAUCUACUGAAUUGGCGGCAGUUGGGGUAUCAGCUUCAGUAUUCAAUUUGGUCUCGAAGUUAUUCAAUGUUCCUUUGCUCAAUAUCACUACUUCAUUUGUUGCUGAAGAGCAGGCAUUGAUUAAUACCAAUGAGAAAAACGUUGUUCAAUUAAAUAUUGAUGGCAUAGAAGAAGAGAAUCAAGAAAAGAAGCUCCUUUCCUCUGUAUCUACUUCUUUAGCACUUGCUACUGGUCUUGGAAUUGCUGAAGCUGUUAUGCUGUCUCUUGGUUCAGGGACUCUAAUGGAUAUCAUGGGUAUACCUGUUGAUUCAUCAAUGCGUGCACCUGCAGAGCAAUUUUUGUCUCUGAGGGCAUUUGGUGCUCCACCUAUUGUACUUGCACUUGCUGCACAAGGCACUUUUCGUGGAUUUAAGGAUACAAAAACACCAUUGUAUGCUACUGCUGCUGGUAAUCUACUCAAUGCAGUACUGGAUCCAUUAUUGAUAUUCUUUUGUGGUUUUGGCAUUGGAGGUGCUGCAAUUGCGACAGUGAUAACUGAGUAUCUGGUUGCUUCCGUUCUUGUGUGGAGAUUAAGCGGAGAAAUAUCUUUUACUCUUUCAAGCAUUGAUGGAAGUAGAAUUGCGCGCUAUCUCCAAUCUGGUGGUCUCUUAAUGGGCCGGACAUUGGCUGUCCUUGUAACCCUGACUCUAGCCACAUCCAUGGCGGCUAGAGAAGGUCCUGUACCCAUGGCUGGUUACCAAAUUUGUGUACAAAUAUGGAUGGCCAUAUCUUUGCUUACCGAUGCUUUAGCACUUGCUGGUCAGGCAUUACUAGCAAGUAGCUACACCCUACAAGACUAUGAACAUUCGCGUCAAGUGAUUUAUAGAACUUUACAGAUUGGUUUGGUCUCAGGAAUUUCUUUGGCGAUUAUCUUAUUCCUGGGAUUUGGCGCAUUUUCUGGUUUAUUCAGUAGUGAUGCAGAAGUCCUGGAAAUUGCACGAUCUGGGUUGUUGUUUGUUGCUGGAUCGCAACCAGUGAAUGCACUGGCUUUUGUUGUAGAUGGGCUCUACUAUGGAGUUUCAGACUUCGGAUAUGCAGCUUACUCCAUGGUGCUUGUUGGACUGGUUUCUUCUAUCUACUUGCUUGUGGUCACUCCCGCAUUAGGUCUCCCUGGUGUUUGGAGUGGAUUGUUUCUGUUCAUGAUGUUGCGUUUAGUAGCUGGAAUCUGGAGAUUGGGCACGAAGAGUGGGCCAUGGGAGAUAGUUUUCAAUGAGGUCGACGGAAAAAGUGACUGAACUAAAAAGCUUCUUGAAGUUCGUAAAGCUCAUCUCUUUAAAGGGGUUGAAUACCACGAGGAUUUGGAUAUGUUCCCUUAGCUUUUUAAAAGCUCCACCAACUCUUACUCUUUACUGACACGACAGCUUUUUAUCUAUUAACCAGAGCUGCCCUCAUCAAUGCAACAGUUUCAGAUCAUGUCAGACAGUUCGCCGCAAUAUUCACCGGAUGAGGUUUUCUCCAUAGUCUCAAUCCCAUCAAAAUUAACAUGGAGGGGUGUACAAAAGAACAGGGGUCCGCAAAAAGGAGAAGAAAUGAAACUAACUAUGUACGAUCAAAAUAGAAUAAAUUUGUAACGAAAAAACAAAAGACAACCCUGCCUAAACUUUCAAUCUUCAUCCAUGGAAGCAUAAAUCAAGCCACUUGCGUUCCUCCUCCAA